UGGCGGAGGCUCUGGUUCGCCGUUGGCUCAUAUGAGUA
Molecule: small RNA, 38 nt
Filed under: Propionibacterium australiense
Lineage: Bacteria; Bacillati; Actinomycetota; Actinomycetes; Propionibacteriales; Propionibacteriaceae
Description: CRISPR_Spacer
Source: RNAcentral